GAUGAACGCUGGCGGCGUGCCUAAUACAUGCAGGUCGAGCGAACAGACGAGGAGCUUGCUCCUCUGACGUUAGCGGCGGACGGGUGAGUAACACGUGGAUAACCUACCUAUAAGACUGGGAUAACUUCGGGAAACCGGAGCUAAUACCGGAUAAUAUAUUGAACCGCAUGGUUCAAUAGUGAAAGACGGUUUUGCUGGCACUUAUAGAUGGAUCCGCGCCGCAUUAGCUAGUUGGUAAGGUAACGGCUUACCAAGGCAACGAUGCGUAGCCGACCUGAGAGGGUGAACGGCCACCCUGGAACUGAGACACGGUCCAGACUCCUACGGGAGGCAGCAGUAGGGAAUCUUCCGCAAAGGGCGAAAGCCUGACGGAGCAACGCCGCGUGAGUGAUGAAGGUCUUCGGAUCGUAAAACUCUGUUAUUAGGGAAGAAAAAAUGUGUAAGUAACUAUGCACGUCUUGACGGUACCUAAUCAGAAAGCCACGGCUAACUACGUG
Molecule: ribosomal RNA, 497 nt
Filed under: uncultured bacterium
Lineage: Bacteria
Description: partial 16S ribosomal RNA
Rfam family: Bacterial small subunit ribosomal RNA
Source: RNAcentral